This 203-nucleotide long non-coding RNA is filed under the name Elaeis guineensis (African oil palm). RNAcentral's name for it is "long non-coding RNA (EGUI_LNC063006)". Lineage: Eukaryota; Viridiplantae; Streptophyta; Magnoliopsida; Arecales; Arecaceae. The record is from RNAcentral.
GCUAUAAUUAGAUCCCAACCAAUCAUUCUCCACCUAUUAGGUCCCCCACUAAGAAAGGAUGAUAAAGGCAAAGGAGUCUUUGUAGAGAAUCCAAGAGAAAGCAGUCAGGAACCCGAUGUUUCAAGUGCAACGGGUUAGGUCAUAUUGCUAGUCAGUGCCCAUCUCGAGCGCUACAUAUUGGGGAGCCCAAAAAAGAAAAUCCC